This 296-nucleotide signal recognition particle RNA is filed under the name Zalophus californianus (California sea lion). RNAcentral's name for it is "Metazoan signal recognition particle RNA (ENSZCAG00015007877.1)". It matches the Rfam family "Metazoan signal recognition particle RNA". Rfam says of the family: The signal recognition particle (SRP) is a universally conserved ribonucleoprotein. Lineage: Eukaryota; Metazoa; Chordata; Mammalia; Carnivora; Otariidae. The record is from RNAcentral.
GCCAGGCGCGGUGGCGCACCCCUGUAGUCCCAGCUACUCGGGAGGCUGAGGCGGGAGGAUCGCUUGAGCCCAGGAGUUCUGGGCUGUAGUGUGCUACGCCAAUCGGGUGUCCGCACUAAGUUCGGCAUCAAUAUGGUGACCUCCCGGGAGCAGGGGACCACCAGGUUGCCUAAGGAGGGGUGAACCAGCCCAGGUCAGAACCGGAGCAGGUCAAAAUUCCCGUGCUGAUAAAGAUUUUGAAUCUAAAAUACAUAAACACUUCUGAAACUCAGUAAUAAGAAAGCAAACAAUCUAAU